RNAcentral lists this transfer RNA (72 nucleotides) under Camelus ferus (Wild Bactrian camel). It matches the Rfam family "tRNA". From Rfam's summary of the family: Transfer RNA (tRNA) molecules are approximately 80 nucleotides in length. Lineage: Eukaryota; Metazoa; Chordata; Mammalia; Artiodactyla; Camelidae. The record is from Rfam by way of RNAcentral.
GAGGGUAUAGCUCAGUGGUAAAGUGCGUGCUUAGCAUGCACAAAGUCCUGAGUUUAAUCCCCAGUACCUCUG